Callithrix jacchus (white-tufted-ear marmoset) is the source of this 2922-nucleotide non-coding RNA. The record is from RefSeq and is a predicted model, not a curated record. NCBI's taxonomy places the organism in Eukaryota, Metazoa, Chordata, Mammalia, Primates, Cebidae.
CAUAGCACAGUGAGAAUUUAAUUGUAUUAAUAUUAUUAAUGUCACCGGCUACUGCUAAUGAAAUACACUCAUCAAGUUGUUGAUUGAGGGUUGGCUCAGCUGCAAGAUAUGCUGGAACUUUGGCAUUCUAGGGUCAGUGAAGAGGAGUGGAUUUAGAGACAGCCAGAGACUCGCCUGCUGAACAACUAGGGAUGGUCUCCCAACUCCACCACUUAGUCACUUUACCCCUCUAUGUCUGAGUUCUCAUAUGUAAAACAGGCAUAAUAAUAGUACCUAACUCAUAGCAUUGUAACGAAGAUUAGUAUAUGUAUAUAAAGCACUUAGAAUAGCACAUUGGCAUACAGCAAGCACUCGAUGAACAUUAGUUAUUGUUUUUUAAGGCAUAGACUGUUGAACAGGAAGUGUGCUAAAGUUGUGAUUUGGCCAAAAGCACAAGUGUCAUCAAGUGAUAGCAGUAGACUGCAAAUAUUGUUACUGUCUCCUCGAUAUGGAUUCAGGAAAUGGGGCAGAACAACAUAUAAGGACAAUUGUUCAAAUUAACUCAUAGGAAAAAAGAAAAAUAGAAAUAAGGAAAUAAGUCACUGACAGAAAAAGAUAAUGUGAUAGCUUUUUCAAUAGUUUAUACUAAAUUGUUGUGCUACCAUAGCUUAAUAUUUCUCUAGCUUAUUCUUCACAUUGUAGUAAUAAUUGUUUUCCAAUGUCUCUUAAAUCAUCUCUGGAAAUACGUUGCUCCUAGAAAUAGCACUGUUCAUUACAACCAUAUGGAGUCAUUAUGAAACAUACUAAUUCUUAGAAACUGGCUUAGUUAUUCUAGGGUAGGACCUGGACAUCUGCUUUGUUUUCAAAUGGCCCAGAUUAUUUAAGUGUGCAGCUGGGCUGAGGACUUCUAUCUUAGAAGAAGAUGGUUUCAGAAUUCAAAUCAGUGGCCAUUAAAAAUCUUUUCCUCACAGCUGCUAGCUUUGAGUAUUGCAGCAUGAUGAAUAAUUCCUGUGACUAUCCCUUUUUCUAACACUACUGAAAUCAGACUUUAAUUUCUCUUUCUUUCAUUAAGCAAAGGGGGAAAAAAGGAGUAAGAAAGAAGGAAAAAAAACCUUUCAACCAACAUUUUUGUCUUUAUUCAACCUAUAUUUGUUGAACAUCUGCUAUAGGACAAACAUAGUGUUGACUUCUAAUGAAUAAUGUAGAUUUCAUAGCCUGUUAAAGGAAUGUGUGACCUGAAGUUCAAAGAAUACCUCCUACCUGGUUAGAAUUAAUUUGCAGAUUCUUUAGAUGAAAUUUUUUUCUUCAAUAUUUUUUAUUGUGGUAAAAUGCACUUAUCAUAAGAUUUACCAUCUUAAUGAUUUUAAGUGUAUAGUGCAGUGGUAUUAAGUAUACUCAUAUUGUUUUGCAACCAUUAUCACUAUCUCCAGAUCUUUUUAUUUUUUUAUUUUUUGAGACUGAAUCUUGCUCUAUUGCCCAGGCUGGAGCACAACUACAUGAUUUUGGCUCACUGCAACCUCUGCCUCCUGGGUUCAAGCGAUUCUCUUGCCUCACUCUCCCAAGUAGCUGGGAUUACAGACAUGUGCCACCAUGCCCUGCUAAUUUUUGUAUUUUUUAGUAGAGACAGGGUUUUGCCAUGUUGGCUAGGCUGAUCUCCAACACCUUACCCGGGGUGAUCCACCCACUUUGGCCUCACACAGUGCUGGGAUUACAGGUGUGAGCCACCAGCCCAGUUUAUAGAGCUUUUUUCAUCUUUCAAAACUGAAACUCUAUACCCAUUAAAUAACAAUGCACUCUCUCACCUCCACUCCCAGCCCUAGGCAGUCACCAUUCUACUUUCUGUAUCUAUCAAUUUGAUUCCUCUAGGUACCUCAGAUAAGUAAAAUCACAUAGUAUUUGUCUUUUUGUGACUGGCUUAUUCUCCUUAGCAUAAUGUCCUCAAGGUUCAACCAUGUUGUAGCAUAUACCAGAAUUCCUUUCCCUUUUAAGGCUUCCCUUUUAAAUAUUAAUAAAAUAUUUAAAAAUAUUUCAUUUUAUGUAUAUAUCACAUUUUGCUUAUCCACUCUUCUGUUGGUGGUCACUUGAGUUGCUUUCAUGUUUUAGCGGUUGUGAAUAUGUCUAUGAAAAUGAAUGUACAAAUAUCCCUUUCAGACCUUUCCUUAGGUUUUUGACAACUUCUUUAGAGUUGGGUCUCGAUCUGUUUCCCAGGCUGGAGUGAUCAUGGCUCACUGCAUCUCCAACUCUUGGGCCCAAGGGUUCCUCCCACCCCAGCCUCUGAGUAGCUGGGGCUACAGAUGCAUGGCCAUCACACCCAGGGAAACUGCUUACCUCAACUGCCAAUUUACAGAGGAUCUCUGUGGAUGUUAAAUCAGAGAAGAGUGCGAAAGGAUUAUGAGCAGAAGAAUGACAUAUUUGGACUAUGUCCCAGAGAGAUAACACUGAUGAUAAUGAAUAUAAUGGACUGAAAGAGAACACUAGGAACACUGUUUAGAAGGCAAGUAUAACAUCUCAGAUUAGUGAUGACUGACAUCUAAACCAUGGAGAAGAUUUUAGGAAAAAACUUGUAGGAAUUUCUGACCACUGAUAUGUUUAUAAGACAAACAAAAAAAGGUUAGCAUGAUGCUACAGUUUCCUGCCUAGGAUGAUGGGAACAUUCGUAACCAAAGGGCAGGGAAAAAUAAUUUUUUGAGGGGACAUUUGACUUUGAGGUGUUGGAAUGAUAGCCAUAUAAAAAUGUCCCAUCAGCUGGAGCUAGAAAUAUAAGUCAAAGCCAGAAGUUGCAGAUGAAGUUAUGAGAUAGGAUGAAAAAAAUGUAGAGAGAGAAAAAAAUGAGUGUAUUAAGAUGUCAAUAACUGAAAACUUUUUGUAGAGGUUUACAUUUUGGGGCAGCUAAACAAAAUCAGGGAGCAUAUUACAGAAGCCAAAGGAGAAGAGAAUUUUAAA